CAAUUCCUGGGUUAUGACCAUGACCCUAAAAAAAUCCAGAAAAAACAACCUCAUUACGAGACAUACCUUGCAAUAGAUGUUUGUUUAACUGGAAAUCCACAAGAGCAGCUGCCCAGUGCAAUGGUACAUAUUUGCUUCUGAAUCCUUUCUCAAAGGCACUAUUUAAACAUGUUGAUGAACUGAACUGCAUUUCUCCCCACCUCCAUUUGAGCAAAACAAGGAGACUCAGAAGAUAAAAUAUGCUUUGUUUUUGCAAGUAGCAUAAUGUGGUACAGCAUUAAAUACGAGAUGUGAACUCACCAUGGCAACCCCUGCAUCACAUUGCAGAUAUGCUGCUUCUAAGCUACGGCAGAUGUUUCUGAAGAAAUACACAUGAAUAUUAGGGAGACACUGAUGGAAAUACAACGCUUUGGAGUUAAGCACGAAGACGCAACUCCACAGUGCUACCUAACGCCCCUGAAGGAUGCCUAACGUCCUUCAGGAAUGAGACAUCGUGGUGGGAUUCGGGUGCUUGGGCACGCUUGGAGACACGGGCCUGCAGCUCCCCUUCGAAGACUUGCAGAUAGCCCCACCUCUACUUUUGGGGAGCUGCUGAUUUGUAGCAAUAUCAGCUGCCUAAUCCUGAUGCCUGGCAAGGUUUGAACAUUAACUGCAUACAGCCAAGAAAGAAUAUGAAUAUACAGACAGGAAAACUACUGCUUAAUUACUAUGCAAGCUGCUUAGCGCCCAGAGUCAUUGCAUUUUUCAAAGGGACUCUUAAAAUACUGCAUCAGUACAAGUGACUGAAUACAUCCAGGAUGGAAGAGGGCUUGGUAUGUAUCAUUUGGCAAUAGUGUAUAAUGGGUAUAAUAUUUGUAACAGCUGUUAGGUGCUCUGAAGCUACGCUACAUUUAUGGAAUUUUCCAUUGAGCUCUAAAUAUUCAGGUCACAUACACAGUUAAAUUUCCAGCAGUGGCAGUACAGAUAAAAGCACUCCAACCGUAUGCCAUAAUUGUGCUCUAUUUAGAGAGUGCAGCAACUCAGGCAUUUUCACAGCAGUCAUCUUAGAUACGGUAUACAUUCUGCUUUAUAAAUGCCAAUUCAUUAGCACAUGUAACACGUAGCAUGCUGCUUUUAAAAAAAAAGAGAGAGAAUGCUGUGUUUCACUGAGGAGUAAACAUACUGAAAUAACCUAUUACUGAGAAGAAGGAAAAGAAAAAUGCAGAUAAAAAUGCCAAAUUCAGUUUCAUCCUUUAUGCAAUGGUCUUCUGUGGAAGAUCAAAGUCCAUUUUGUAAGAGAUUUCAAAUAAAUGGCUUUAAUUAGAGUAUCCA
This 1311-nucleotide long non-coding RNA is filed under the name Struthio camelus australis. RNAcentral describes it as "lncRNA (ENSSCUG00000010738.1)". The record is from RNAcentral. Lineage: Eukaryota; Metazoa; Chordata; Aves; Struthioniformes; Struthionidae.